GGUGGUCACCUGCACCAGUGCGUAGGCCUUCCGUGGUCGCCUCACCACCUCGAUGUGCUCCCGUGCCACCGGCAGCCCCAGCCGUUCCAGGGCGUCUCGCAGCAGGCAGGCCCUCCGGUGCCACGAAUCCCCAUCUUCCCCUUCGUGACCAAUCCCAGGCUCCGCUGAGCACUGAUGACCCAGCUACUCCCCAAGACGGAUCUGAGCACACACUGCUGGGUCCAGGGCUGCCCCGGACCCCAGGCCCCCUGCUCCACGCCAGAGACGGAGGUUGCUGUCCGGCCGGAGCCCUGAAAAAUAGGGACACUGAGGCAGAGGCUCGGCUGGGGAAGCCCAGAGAGGAGACCGAGGCCGUCAGGCGCAGCGUGAGGCUCUGGAAGAGCCUGGCAGGUGCCCUCCCCAUGCCCACCCCGGCAUGACGGCUGUGAGCUCCCCAUGCUCCCCCUCCUCUCUUUCAGGCCUGUCUAGACACUGCCAACAUGAGCUGCUCUCACAGCAACCACGCAGCAGGGUCUGUAGCUGCCAAAGAAGAAGGCUACGUGGGGUCGUGGCUGGCCAGGAGAGGCGCCCUGACGGAUGGAACAUGUGAACAUGUGAACCAGAGGACGUGACUCACUUCUCCAGGGGCCUUGCUAUCAGGCAGCCUUUUGCGUGAGGGUUUCCACGCUGAUCUGCGUGCCCAAGCUCUCCCCACUCUUACUGGGG
Long non-coding RNA from Leopardus geoffroyi (Geoffroy's cat), 705 nucleotides. RefSeq lists it as uncharacterized. The record is from RefSeq and is a predicted model, not a curated record. The transcript has 3 exons. Lineage: Eukaryota; Metazoa; Chordata; Mammalia; Carnivora; Felidae.